AGCAACCACUAAGCCAUUCCUCAGGAUCGAGUGCCAGUUUUCAAUGUGCGAUCCACUUAAAUACAAAAGAAAAGACAAGCAGAAAUCAAAAUCCUAAUGCACUUGCGAUCUCAGACUACAUGAAGUUGCUUUUGAAGAUUAUCUACAAAUUUCAGCUGGUCUGCAAUGCACUGCUUGUGCACUCAGAGGCAGACCUAUACAAACUGGACUUGCAAAGUAGCUGGCUGGAAAGAGUCUACAGAAAAUGAUUUGGGGAAUUUGAGAAAAUAGCUUUACAAAAAGCCUGGCCAGCAGGAGAGGAUGACUUAGUACAACUUUCAGUACUGGUGUACCAUUAACCCAAAGUUAAAGAAUAAAGGGCGAGCCUCUGGGGCUUAAGGAAGAA
Pantherophis guttatus is the source of this 385-nucleotide non-coding RNA. Lineage: Eukaryota; Metazoa; Chordata; Lepidosauria; Squamata; Colubridae. The record is from RefSeq and is a predicted model, not a curated record.